RNAcentral lists this ribosomal RNA (425 nucleotides) under uncultured bacterium. RNAcentral describes it as "partial 16S ribosomal RNA". It matches the Rfam family "Bacterial small subunit ribosomal RNA", at positions 354 to 796 of the family's 1533-position model. The record is from RNAcentral.
GUGGGGAAUAUUGGACAAUGGGCGAAAGCCUGAUCCAGCAAUGCCGCGUGAGUGAUGAAGGCCUUAGGGUUGUAAAGCUCUUUUACCAGGGAUGAUAAUGACAGUACCUGGAGAAUAAGCUCCGGCUAACUCCGUGCCAGCAGCCGCGGUAAUACGGAGGGAGCUAGCGUUGUUCGGAAUUACUGGGCGUAAAGCGCACGUAGGCGGUUACUCAAGUCAGAGGUGAAAGCCCGGGGCUCAACCCCGGAACUGCCUUUGAAACUAGGUAACUAGAAUCUUGGAGAGGUCAGUGGAAUUCCGAGUGUAGAGGUGAAAUUCGUAGAUAUUCGGAAGAACACCAGUGGCGAAGGCGACUGACUGGACAAGUAUUGACGCUGAGGUGCGAAAGCGUGGGGAGCAAACAGGAUUAGAAACCCUAGUAGUCC